CGCGCCUGGAUUGAUGAGGAGGAGGGCACGCAGAGAUUCUCUCUGUGUGUGCAGGAAUGUCCCCAACAAAGGCUCGGUGCGCAGCUGCUCCUGCUGCAAAUGCCCAGGAGGAGGACCUGAGUUCCCACAGAAGAGGUCUCAGGAGGACAGCAGAUGGAUUCAGCCUCAAGAUCCCUCCCAGUCCUUAGCUAUCAUUUAAAGCGUUAAAAAUCCUUCUGCCCUGGCUCAGACUCCCGAGGACUGAGAGCCCUUUGUGUGCAGUGCUGACAUGGCAGCCUGGCCGUGAAGGCAGGAUUGUACCGGGUCUGGGGGAGAGAGGGGGCAAUGAAUAAACCUCACUGUUUUCCCCCGUAAUUCUCCAGAUCCCGGAGUUCCUCCCAAGCAUGGGGCUGGACAGUCAGUGCCCUAACCCCAUUAUGAUUUUUCCAGGUAUUCCAGUGCAGCACAUUGACAACUCCCCCACCAUUCUGCACAGCUGCCAGAGCUUCCCAUCGCCGCUCCAACAGCUGCUUGUGGGCAGACAGUUGUGCCUCACAGCCAUGACGGCCAUUCCACAGCAUUGCUCCUGGCACACUGCCCUCCCUGCAGCUCCUCACCUGCUGAGGUGGAGGCCAGACCCCCAGUAUGCCCCAAAACUUCCCACAUAUAAAAUGACGAGUGGCACUGACCAGCACUUAAGUUGAAAUGAUGACAAAGCCAAGCUGGGAGUUUGAGGAGGGACAGGCAGGGAAUCCGACAACAAAAAGGGCUUGGGGAUCCUCUCCUGAGUGCAAAUCCAGGAAGAAUUCUGGUGUUUCACCAAGACCUGCCUUUUCCAGCUCCCCUCAGUGCUGAGCAUUACUUAUCACCCCGACCUUGAGGUGGCUCAUCCUCCACUUUGCUUCACUUUGCCUGAGCACAAGGCUCUGAGCCCCAGCACAUGGCCAGGAUCCACGGCCUCCCUGGCACAGCUCUUGGAAGCAAGCAGCUCCAGCUGGAAGCUGAGGCUCACUGGGAGAAUCCAGCCAGGAAGAGGGAAGAUGUUGCUUCCCUCCUGUGGGUCUGGGGAACCUGCUGUUUGCUUUUCUCUCUCCACUCUGACCUUUGCCCUCAUGGGUGCACAUGGAUUCAGCUGCUCAUGGGAGAGAGCAUCCCAUGGCAGCUCUGUUGGGGAGAUAAAAGCGAUGAGAGUAGCCAUCAGUGGGUCCUCUACAUGAUAGAGGCUGGGAGUGACUGCAUCCGGAUGGACAGAGUGGAUUUUGCUGCUGGGAAGGUGAGGGCCGAGCUGCUCUUGGCUGCCCUGGCAAGCUGAGUUGCCUGUGCCAGGAGGGAAUGCACAAAGCAGAGCAGAAAGGGACAGGGACAUGGGCCCCACUGUGUUCCCAUGUCAAAGUUCUUCAAUGAGCUCCCCAUCAUCCCCAUGAUCCUGUCAUUAAGCAAUAAAUCCUAUACAGAAGAGUUGAAAAUGUGUUUCAGUAUUUCUUUAUCUUCAUGCAGCCCUACUACACACUACCUCACCCCCAGUUUCCCACCCAGAGAAGACCAGCAGCUGACACAGGAACUGGAGAGCUCUGGCAAGGUUUCCUGCAGUUUCCAUCUGGUUUCUGACCAUGCCUUGCCCCUCUUUGCCAACGGAGUGUCUCACCCAUGUGCGAGGACCAAGCCCCGGCUGCCCAGGGUGGCAAGAGGAGGCGGGCAGGCUGCCUGGCACAGGGCUGGGUGAGCUCUGGCACUGGAAGCGAUGCCAGCGGAGGGAUUAGGAGAGCUGAACAGGCUCCAUAUCCACAGCAGAGUUAGUUAAAUGGCCCCAGCAACUAGGGAAAUCCUGGCACUUCAUCUGACAAAGACUGGGGGAGAUCAGGCCCUCUCUGUGGCUUCACUUGGAGUCUCACCCUGCCGUGAAUCUGGUUCCUGCUCCACAGAGCAUCCGUGCACUUUUCUCAGAGGGAGAGCCCACAGGGGCAGCAUCUCCUCACAUCCCAAAUGCCCCACCUCUCUGCAGCCAGGGAAUUCUGCCAGGCAGACAUGCUGAGGGCUCUGCAGUGCUCUCCCCUGCUCUCCUCGCAGAAAGCAAAAUGCAUUUGAACAAUGAAAAUGCAUUCUGAGGUGCUUUUCGUGUGUCUGUAGCUGGUCGGUGUGGAUCAUGGCAGUACUGUCCUUAGCCUUGGAGGAACUGCUGAUUUCAACAGCUUUGUAUUGGCUUGCUCAGAAUAAAUUGUGUUUUCUUGCA
Corvus hawaiiensis (hawaiian crow) is the source of this 2209-nucleotide long non-coding RNA. RefSeq lists it as uncharacterized. The record is from RefSeq and is a predicted model, not a curated record. Lineage: Eukaryota; Metazoa; Chordata; Aves; Passeriformes; Corvidae. The transcript has 2 exons.